AAGAUUUGGAGCUAAGCCCUCCCUUCUCCCUGUGGGGAAAAAAAACCCUCAACCCAGGCUGGGGAAGGGAGGGUUUAUUUGCUCACUCGCCUUUUUUUCCCCCCUAGGUCGUUGUUAUCGGUCAUAGUUUUCAUUGACUACGGAGUCAAACUGUAUUCCUUUCCUGAACUGACAGAGCAUGACUGGCUUGAACAUGGCUGCAGGUUUGCAAGACUUCACACCGAGGAGUCCUUGAUCCAUUCAGAAACAAAGAGAAACUGUUUUAUCGGAGGCGGGGGCGCGGCGCA
Molecule: long non-coding RNA, 287 nt
Filed under: Felis catus (domestic cat)
Lineage: Eukaryota; Metazoa; Chordata; Mammalia; Carnivora; Felidae
Description: lncRNA (ENSFCAG00000047738.1)
Source: RNAcentral